GAGUUUGAUCUUGGCUCAGGAUGAACGCUGGCGGCGUGCCUAAUACAUGCAAGUCGAGCGAACGGACGAGAAGCUUGCUUCUCUGAUGUUAGCGGCGGACGGGUGAGUAACACGUGGAUAACCUACCUAUAAGACUGGGAUAACUUCGGGAAACCGGAGCUAAUACCGGAUAAUAUUUUGAACCGCAUGGUUCAAAAGUGAAAGACGGUCUUGCUGUCACUUAUAGAUGGAUCCGCGCUGCAUUAGCUAGUUGGUAAGGUAACGGCUUACCAAGGCAACGAUGCAUAGCCGACCUGAGAGGGUGAUCGGCCACACUGGAACUGAGACACGGUCCAGACUCCUACGGGAGGCAGCAGUAGGGAAUCUUCCGCAAUGGGCGAAAGCCUGACGGAGCAACGCCGCGUGAGUGAUGAAGGUCUUCGGAUCGUAAAACUCUGUUAUUAGGGAAGAACAUAUGUGUAAGUAACUGUGCACAUCUUGACGGUACUAAUCAGAAAGCCACGGCUAACUACGUCG
Molecule: ribosomal RNA, 516 nt
Filed under: uncultured microorganism
Description: bacterial SSU rRNA
Rfam family: Bacterial small subunit ribosomal RNA
Source: RNAcentral